GCCAACAUGGUGUAGUGGUUUGUGCAUUGAACUAUGACUCUGGAGAUCAGGGUUCGAUUCCCUGUCUGGCCA
Phrynosoma platyrhinos (Desert horned lizard) is the source of this 72-nucleotide non-coding RNA. Lineage: Eukaryota; Metazoa; Chordata; Lepidosauria; Squamata; Phrynosomatidae. The record is from the annotation of a GenBank genome assembly.